RNAcentral lists this long non-coding RNA (329 nucleotides) under Populus trichocarpa (black cottonwood). RNAcentral describes it as "long non-coding RNA (PTRI_LNC003747)". Lineage: Eukaryota; Viridiplantae; Streptophyta; Magnoliopsida; Malpighiales; Salicaceae. The record is from RNAcentral.
GUGCCUCUUGUAAAGCAUCUUCUUCUUCUUUGGACUCUGGUUCAUCAUAACCAUAGUGUACAAUCUCCAAACACUCUUGUGAACCAAGAAAUGCCUUUAAUCUGAUGCACCAACUAUCAUAGUUGUCUUUGGUCAGCUUCGGGAUGAGUGUUUGUGUACUUUCUGUAGUCAUUUUGCUCUUGGAAUGACUAUAUCUCCUUCUGGGAGUUGAAUUUGGCAAAACGGACACUGUAGAUCGAUCCGGAAUGGUCGAAAUAGUCGGGAACCGGUCUGACUUUGUAGAAAUCAGGUCCGAAAAUGGUUGAACCGGUCAAAAAACCAAUUCUGGG